CACUGGUAGGUGAAGUUGCCAUUUUGUGGCCUCUUCCUUCCAGAGAGGUCAGCAACGUGCGUGCAGGGGCAGAGCUUGUGUGCAGGAGGUGGGGCUUCCAUCCAAGAAGCGGGGCUUAUGUGUGGUGGCCGGACAUAUGGCCAGAAGUGAUGUCAAUUGUGCAGGGAGACUGAUAGGUCUCCCUCCGGCCACACCAGCCCCCAGCUCCUCCCUCUUGACUUUCCUC
Pelobates cultripes (western spadefoot toad) is the source of this 226-nucleotide non-coding RNA. The record is from the annotation of a GenBank genome assembly. Lineage: Eukaryota; Metazoa; Chordata; Amphibia; Anura; Pelobatidae.